GAGAGCAUAGCUCAGUUGGUAGAGUACCAGGUUGUGGUCCUGGGCGUCGUGGGUUCGAUCCCCAUUGCUCUCCCCA
RNAcentral lists this transfer RNA (76 nucleotides) under Myxococcota bacterium. RNAcentral describes it as "tRNA-His". It matches the Rfam family "tRNA". From Rfam's summary of the family: Transfer RNA (tRNA) molecules are approximately 80 nucleotides in length. The record is from RNAcentral. Lineage: Bacteria; Pseudomonadati; Myxococcota.